AUGGAAGUACCCGGAGAAGUUGGUGCUCCGUGUAGCAAAUUUGUGCCCCUCCACUCAUCGGACCGCCGAGGCAUGGAACUACCUGGAGAAGAUGGUGCUCCGCGUAGCAAAUUCGGCUGUGUUUUGAGAGGCUGCCAGGCAAGACGCUUUGCCAGAUGUUCAUCAUCAAUGUCGGUCAGGGGUUCAGGCACCUUUGGAACGCAUGGCAUCAGCCAUAUGGACCUGCAUGGAUGUGAUAGUUUACUCAAUCAUUUUUAUGCCUUCAACUACAGCUACCACACAACUUCAUUGAGAUUUGUUUUCUAUAGGACCUGGAUUAAUAAUCUCCAACAAUAUGGUAAUGCUUGA
Molecule: ribosomal RNA, 348 nt
Filed under: Triticum aestivum (bread wheat)
Lineage: Eukaryota; Viridiplantae; Streptophyta; Magnoliopsida; Poales; Poaceae
Description: partial small subunit ribosomal RNA
Source: RNAcentral